AAGAAAAAAACCGAAAACAAAGAGGGAUGCAACACGAAGACUUUCCUGGAGGUCACCCAUCCUAGUACUACUCUCGCCCAAGCACACUUAACUGCGGUGUUCUGAUAGGAUCAAGUGCAUUAGUGCUGGUAUGAUCGCAUCAGUUACUACAUGCAAUGCAAUCAUAUAUAUUCUUUUUUGAAGACUUUAUGAUCCAUUUGCCGUAGGUCCCACCAGCUAUGUAGGAAUACCCUAUCUCGUUUAUAAGAGCUUUGAUACAUGCAAAAUAUUCGAAAACAAUGUCCGAACAUAUAAUUUUUGUCCCGUAAUAUAGCAAAGAUCGCGAAAAGGCCAUAAAAAAUACAUUUCGGUCAAAAUUUGGAGUAGAAAAAAAACCCUUCCUCAUUCAUUGGACAGCUCUCUUUGGGCUUUCCGAAAAGGUAUCACAUGCCAAGUUUGGCCUCACGGUCUAAACCUUAUAGACUCAUACAUUUUUCACAAAAAAAAGAAGAGAAAAACCAAAAAAAAGAGUGAUUAAACACGAGGACUUUCCUGGAGGUCACCCAUCCUAGUACUACUCUCGCCCAAGCACGCUUAACUGCGAAGUUCUGAUGGGAUCUGGUGCAUUAGUGCUGGUAUGAUCGCAUCUGUUACUACAUGCAAUGCAAUCGUAUUUAUUCUUUUUUGAAGAUUUUAUGAUUCAUUUACCGUGGGUCCCACCAGCUAUGUAGGAAUAACCUAUCUUAUUUAUAAAAGCUUUGAUACAUGCAAAAUAUUAGAAAACAAUGUCCGAACAUAUAAUGUUCGCCCCAAAAUAUAGCAAAGACCACAAAAAUGCCAUAAAAAGUACAUUAAGGUCAAAAUUUGGAGUAGGAAAAAAAUCAAUAGGAGAAUUCCAUUUUCCUUCCUUCAUUCAUCGGAGAGCUCUCUUUGGGCAUUCCAAAAAGGUAUCACAUGCCAAGUUUGGCCUCACGGUCUAAAAGUUAUAGAGUAAUACAUUUUUAACAAAAAAA
This 992-nucleotide small RNA is filed under the name Arabidopsis thaliana (thale cress). Its description in RNAcentral is "ATSL164370". Lineage: Eukaryota; Viridiplantae; Streptophyta; Magnoliopsida; Brassicales; Brassicaceae. The record is from RNAcentral.